RNAcentral lists this ribosomal RNA (490 nucleotides) under uncultured bacterium. RNAcentral describes it as "partial 16S ribosomal RNA". It matches the Rfam family "Bacterial small subunit ribosomal RNA", at positions 30 to 507 of the family's 1533-position model. The record is from RNAcentral.
AUUGAACGCUGGCGGCAGGCCUAACACAUGCCAGUCGAACGGUAACAGGAAGCAGCUUGCUGCUUUGCUGACGAGUGGCGGACGGGUGAGUAAUGUCUGGGAAACUGCCUGAUGGAGGGGGAUAACUACUGGAAACGGUAGCUACUACCGCAUAACGUCGCAAGACCAAAGGGGGGGACCUUCGGGCCUCUUGCCAUCGGAUGUGCCCAGAUGGGAUUAGCUAGUAGGUGGGGUAACGGCUCACCUAGGCGACGAUCCCUAGCUGGUCUGAGAGGAUGACCAGCCACACUGGAACGGAGACACGGUCCAGACUCCUACGGGAGGCAGCAGUGGGGAAUAUUGCACAAUGGGCGCAAGCCUGAUGCAGCCAUGCCGCGUGUAUGAAGAAGGCCUUCGGGUUGUAAAGUACUUUCAGCGGGGAGGAAGGGAGUAAAGUUAAUACCUUUGCUCAUUGACGUUACCCGCAGAAGAAGCACCGGCUAACUCCGUG